RNAcentral lists this ribosomal RNA (254 nucleotides) under uncultured bacterium. Its description in RNAcentral is "partial 16S ribosomal RNA". It matches the Rfam family "Bacterial small subunit ribosomal RNA", at positions 524 to 776 of the family's 1533-position model. The record is from RNAcentral.
UACGUAGGGGGCUAGCGUUGUCCGGAAUCAUUGGGCGUAAAGAGCGUGUAGGCGGCCCGGUAAGUCCGCUGUGAAAGUCGGGGGCUCAACCCUCGAAUGCCGGUGGAUACUGUCGGGCUAGAGUGCGGAAGAGGCGAGUGGAAUUCCUGGUGUAGCGGUGGAAAUGCGCAGAUAUCAGGAGGAACACCAAUUGCGAAGGCAGCUCGCUGGGACGUUACUGACGCUGAGGCGCGAAAGCGUGGGGAGCAAACAGG